This 468-nucleotide ribosomal RNA is filed under the name uncultured bacterium. RNAcentral describes it as "partial 16S ribosomal RNA". It matches the Rfam family "Bacterial small subunit ribosomal RNA", at positions 28 to 507 of the family's 1533-position model. The record is from RNAcentral.
GACGAACGCUGGCGGCGUGCUUAACACAUGCCAGUCGAACGGAAAGGCCCUGCUUUUGUUGGGUGCUCGAGUGGCGAACGCGUGAGUAACACGCGAGUAACCUGCCCUUGACUUUGGGAUAACUUCAGGAAACUGGGGCUAAUACCGGAUAGGAGCUCCUGCUGCAUGGUGGGGGUUGGAAAGUUUCGGCGGUUGUGGAUGGACUCGCGGCUUAUCAGCUUGUUGGUGGGGUAGUGGUUUACCAAGGCUUUGACGGGUAGCCGGCCUGAGAGGGUGACCGGCCACAUUGGGACUGAGAUACGGCCCAGACUCCUACGGGAGGCAGCAGUGGGGAAUAUGGCACAGUGGGCGGAAGCCUGAUGCAGCAACGCCGCGUGCGGGAUGACGGCCUUCGGGUUGUAAACCGCUUUCGCCUGUGACGAAGCGUGAGUGACGGUAAUGGGUAAAGAAGCACCGGCUAACUACGUG